GUGCUUGCUUAGGCAGCAGCACACAUACUAAAAUUGGAACGAUACAGAGAAGAUUAGCAUGGCCCCCGCACAAGGAUGACAUGCAAAUUUGUAAAACGUUCCAUAUUUUU
Small nuclear RNA from Ailuropoda melanoleuca (giant panda), 110 nucleotides. NCBI's taxonomy places the organism in Eukaryota, Metazoa, Chordata, Mammalia, Carnivora, Ursidae. The record is from Ensembl.